GUCCUUGAUCAUCUCAACGGAUGCAGAGAAAACAUUUGACAAGAUUCAGCAUCCAUUUAUGAUAAAAAAAAAUUCUGAAUAAAAUGGGUACAGAAGGAAGUACCUCAACAUAAUAAAGACCAUAUAUGACAAACCCACAGCUAACAUCAUACCCAAUGGUGAAAACUGAAAGAUAUCCUUUUAAGAAAAGGAACAAGACAAGGAUGCCCACUCUCACCACUUUUAUUCUUUUUUAUUGCGAUAACAUUGGUUUAUAACAUUGUAUAGGUUUCAGGUGUACAACAUAAUAAUUUCACAUCUGUAUAUACUACAGCGUGCUCACCACCAAAAGUGUAGUUUCCAUUCAUCACCAUAUAAUUGACCCCCUUUGCCCAUUUUGCCCCCACAUCCUUCCCCUCUGAUAAUCACUAAUCUGUUGUCUGCUUCUAAGAGUUUGUUUUUGUGUCGUUUGUUUUGUUUUGGUUAAUCAGCUGUGGGCUAAUAUAGACAAAUUUUUCAUAGCUAAAUUGCGAAGAUACUAUGCUGUAUCUAAUGAGAUAAUACAGAGUUCAGGAAGCUAUACUUUAAUUUAAAUUGAGUGGUCAGGGAAGGCAAAGAUAUUUGUUAAAAGAUAAACUGAGGCACAUUAACAUUUUUUAGUUUAUUUGAGCAAAAAUUGAUUUGAAUCAAGCAUCAUCUAAUUUAGACUGGAUUGCAAUAUCUUCAAGAGUUAAGGAGAGCUCCCUGAACAUAGCCUCAUUUGCACUUACUCCUAGCCAGGGGAGUAGAGAUCUGCUGAAGGAAGUGAACUUUUUAAAUCAUGGAUGCCUCCUGGCAAUUCCAAUUUUUGUCUGUGGCUCAGGACUAGAAAGUUGACAGCCAUGGAGGUGAGUAAAACUUAAGGGACUGUAGACUGCAUGGGUGAGAAAGGAGUGAGAUUGUCCCGAGAAAUGGAGGCAUUGGAGAUCAGGGAGAAGUUUGUGAGGGCAGGGUCAACACCACUGUGGCAAAUCCAACAGCCAUGUUGAGGUGGGAGUACCCUCCUCUGCAGUGGCCUGAGAUGUGUGAACAAUGAUAUUAUUUUUCCAGGCCAGAGCAAGACAAAACGUGAACAACCGCAACAACAAAAAUAAAGACAUUCAUGGUGUAAAAAUUAGGAAAAGGAAGGUCAGAGAGGGGAGGAGGACUGGAAAGAGACGUUCUCGAUCUGACAUCUUGGGAGGAAGCAUCUACCUCGAUGCUGGCCACUGCUCUUCCUGCUCAAUUUGAUUUCGAUGUCUCCAGCAUUUGCACAGGACCAGAUGUCAGGUGGAGCUUUCUUCGGUUGUGAAAUGUGCACCCAAGUUUUGACACUUUGUAAUUUGGCAGCAGAGUCAUGGUCCAAGAGUACUUGGUAGGGUCCUUUCCAUGAAUCUUCCUUUUGCAAAAGCAUUAGAGUAAAAUAAUAUCUGUUUGGAAAUGACAAAAGACUUAAAAAUCCCCAUGGUUAAAGAUCUGAUCAGAGUUCAUUAUAAUGGAAUUCACAAGGAAAUUUUGUUAUGUCUGUGACCUACGACAUUUUAAGACAAUUAGUGGAAUUACAACUGAUAACAUUAUACCAGGACAUAUCAGAUUUUUAGGAAUUUCAUAUGGCUUCUAGAACACAUAUUAAUAACGUGUCAUACGAAUAUAAUCUAAGAGUGUUUAUCAUCAGUUAUUUGACAAUGCUUCUGCUGUAAUUUAACAUACCAAUAAGCCUAUUAGUUUAAUAUCUCUCUUUUACAAAGUGAAAGACAAAGCUUUUGAGAUUUUUCCAGGGGCCAUCUGAGAAAUUUCAAAGUUAUGUUGCAUUCAAAAAGAUUCCACUUAGAGUCUGAUUUGGGGAAGUUGUCAAAACAUCUAAAAGUUUGAACCAUUGACUUGGGAUCACAAACCAUUAUGAAAUAACACUUCAUUAUCCAUUUAACCAAAGUGACAAUAGAAAAGUUUAAAGUCUAAUACAGAAGGUUACAUAGUUGUAAACAAAACUUAGCUUUUUUAAUAUUGAGAAGAUUGGGUUUUCUUAAGUAAUCAAAAACCUAAUAAAGACAAUGUGAAGCAUAGUAAAUCAUUUUGGUAAGACACAAAAUCUUUGCUUUCAAGCUUUCCAGUUAGAUUUAACCAAAAGGUAAAACAAACAAACAAACAAACAAAACCCAAAAAACAAAAAUUUUCACAACCUCUUAUCAAGGGCAGACCAUAGUCUAAGAAAACUUUGUUCUCUUAACAGAGUGAAACCAAAUUCUAGUUUUGCACCAGUGCACUUUUGAUAUUAAAAUUCAUUGUUAAAAAACUUAAAUAAAUCCAUGCCGAACACAUAAAAUUUCUUUCCCAAGAUUCCUUUUCUACAAACCUAUAGCUUUUGAUAUCCAUUCAGAUUUUAUCCUAUGCUGUUUCCUCUUUCUCGUUCUGGAACAAUCAGUCAUUUUGCUUUCCUUACCUACUUUUCAUAUGCAUUGUUUUCUUCCACUCUUGUUAUUUCUAAAUAGUUUUAAUUAAACGUAUUUAUUAGAAUUCUUAGCCCUUAGAAUCCUUUAUUCCUAGUGAUAACUAAGAAGUAAGCAAUUGUGGACUAUUACACAAGCAUUCUGUGAGUUGGCAAAUUUGUAAACACAUUUCAUAAUUUCUGGAAGUUUAUCUUCCUCACAAUGAAUUUUUCAAUGUGGCACAAAACAUUGUGACACAUUCCUUGCUAAUAGACCACAAUAUCUUUAGUUACUUUGUAAAAGGAAGCCAAAAGUGGAUAAACCUAUGUUCAGUAAUUAAUGUUUCAGUAUUUUAUUUCAUUUGGAAAUGAUCUAGACGUUCAAUUAAUACCCAUUAUUUAACAUAUUUCAGUAUAACUUUAAGGUUUCAAGUUACCAAAAAAGAUUUUGGAAACUAUUUUUAAAUAGAUAUACUAUAAAGAAUAAUUAUUGUUGAAAAGUUCACUUAUAAACUUUUAUCUUAUUACAUUUAUUUAAUUCGUUUGCUUCUUAAAAAUUAUGCUUAGAUUAGUCAUUAAAACUUCACAAGAUAUUACACAGCUAAUCAUCAUCUUAAGUUAUCUUUCUUGCUGACAAAUUCUGUAACAGAGAGAACAUGAGCUUAUUUGACUUUUGCUAAACCUAGGUAGAAUAAAAGUUUUAUAUUUAAUGCUGAUAACUCUCAAGACAUGCCUGUUUUAAUUAAACCAAAAAACUUAAACUAGCUUUUAUUUACUGAAGAUUAUUCUAGAUCACAUGAACUUGAAAAACAUUUGGGUUAGUUUCUAUAUUUUUGAGAGUACACUUGAUUUAUAUAAACUCUUGUUUGCCUUUAAGCCAAUUAAAUAGAGCUCUUUACAAAUUAAUUUUGGCAAUACCGAUGCGGGGUUGGUGAGCCGAGGAGUCGAAAGAAAGAUUUCUUGGACUCUCAAGGUCUGGCAGUAGUGUUCUUUUAUUUAGAGAAUAGUGUGGAAUAGCAUGGGGACAGGAUCCAUGGGCAGUCAGAGCUGCUGUGUGGGGACAGGACCCAUGGGCAAGAGGAGCUGCUGCUGCCACUUCUGCUACAAACAUGGGUGGAGAGUAAGGCUAAAUUUAAGGCAUAGGUAUGUGAGCCAUCUCUUUACAAGACAAAGGAAAGAACAUGAAAAAAAGUUAAAAUGUUAUCAGUGCAGGUGGGGUCUGGCCAUUGGGUGGUCCCACAACUUUUAGAUAAGAAUCAAAUCGGAUUCAGUAAAGGCCAGAAGCCACCACCCUAAAUCAGUUACAUGAGGUUGCCAAACAGUAACCAACUUAAGUCCUUGCCUUCCCCAUUAAGAGUUCCCAGAGAUAAGGCCAUCCUGCCUUCUUCCUGACACAGAGAGGAGGCAUCUUUACAGAUGGAGGUUUCCCUUACAAAUGUAAAUGUUUCCCAACAAAGGGCAAGCAAACUCCUCUCCUGCUCCUCGGAGCCUGCUUCUCAUCUGCAGUUUUAAAAUUAACCAGCCUAAAACCCUCAUUAAUACCAUCUGGAGGUAGAAAAAAAUACAGAUUUAUAACAUACAUACAUAGACAAACAUAAACACGCAAACAGAUCAAACAAAGAUCUCCUAGCUUUUAUUUUAAAAUUUUAGCUGAGAGACAGGUAUGGUAAUGCAAGACUCACUAGUUUAUAAAAAAUCAGUUUCAUCCAAGUUGUGUUUCAGGCAGAGGGAGUAAAUUACCUGCUCAGAUGGCUAAAGCUUUUUACUAUUAUUUGUGGAAGAGAUUUUCAAUAAGCCUAGUUUUCAAAAUUGCCUUUUCUUUUUCUUUCUUCUGAUAUGAAUGACCUUGGUUCCUAGAGAAGACCAGGUAGAAUAUUUACAUUUCAAAAGGCACAGAGAAAGAAUACAAGUUCCCCUUAGAAGGACUUUUGUUUCUGAAGCCCAGAUCCUUUAGAAUAUCUGCAAGCCUUCUGAGAUGAAUAUCGGAGGUUUUGGAUUGGUAAAAAAGAUAGAUGGGCUUUGAAUUGUUUCUAGAUCCACAUUUCUGUUCUUGUAAAGACUCAAUUUGUAAGACAACUAUGGUUAUUUUUAAUUUCUCAGAGAAUGGGAUUGCAACCAGAUUAAUAUCAAGGAGGGACCCCAUCUACCAAGCACAUUAUCCUCAGUUUGCUUCUUUAUAUCAGGGAGAAGAUCAUCAACUAAGAUGGAAAACAAAAGAUCCCUAUGUUCUAGAGUUAGAGCUGUGUGUCUUUGGAAUAUUUUAGUAAAUUCUUCCACAAAGACUUCAGAAUGUUCUUCUUUCCCUCUGGGUAUAUAGUUUCAUUCUAGCUUAGGGGAGAAGGCCUAAAAAAAUUGUUUUCUAUCAGGCUCUAAAUAUCAGCUUCUUAUUGGGCCAACUUUUGACCAUAGAGAUACUUAAAAAAAUCCUUUUGAAUAUCUUGUCAGAUUUCAGCCAGGGCAAAUAGUAAAUAUUCCUGGCAGUACUGAACAACUCCGUGGACACAAGAGGUGUCCUCAAAGAGGAAAAAAAGAUACUACCUUCUCAGGAUCCAGAGCCACUCUCCAAGAUAAAUCAAAGCAAGAAAGAAAUAAUUCCCCUGAGAGCUGGCAACAGUGGGUAGAAUCCCAGCUGCAAGUGGAGUGCAACCCACAUUUCUGUCCAGCCAUGUCCAGCUGCAGAUGGGGUGCAACCCACAUUUCUGUCCAGCCAUAUCUAGCUGCAGAUGGGGUGCAACCCGUAUUUCUGUCCAGCCAUAUCUAGCUGCAGAUGGAGUGCAACCUACAUUUCUGUCUUGCCUUAUUGUAGGGGUCCACAACCCGAUGAUUGCCAGGCCAGUUUCUCUGGCCACUAAAGGAGACAAACAAUAAGGCAAUAGUUAUCCCUAGGAGGGAAAGGAUCAACAACCAAUGGGUACCUGAAAGCAGAUUCAUACUUUCAGUCAAGAUCUUAUUCUUACAAAUGUUUUGUCCUGCCAAUCUGAGUUUGGAAUAGAAGCAAUAAUGUGAAAUUUUACCUUCCUCUCUCAACCAGGCACCACAGAUAGAGAUCUGGAGGGUGACUUUGGUAAGAAUUCUCACCCUUUGGCAGCUUCUACCAGUUUUCCUGGAUCCUGUCUGCAGGCUCUGGAGCGAGUGGGGUGUCCCAGCAGGCCUCAUCCUGGUACCAGACACAGUAGAGGAGGAAAAAUAAUUUUCCCUCUUCGUGUUUUGUGUUUGGCUGAGACCCCUUUUUCACCAGGGCAUCUUCUAAAUGGAUAAUCUUAGCUAGGUUAAAAGUUCUCCACCAUGGCCACUAUAAUUCAAGACUGUCUUUGGUAAGGUUAACUUACUUGCCCAUCCUUGAAAGAAAAUUUUAUCCACUAAAGGCCUCACACUGGACCCAGUCCAGCUUAAGUCACGUCCAGUCCAGACCCAGACCCAGCCCAGGUUUUUUUUUUUUUUAGAUUUUAUUUUCCCUUUUCUUCCCAAAGCCCCCCGGUACAUACUUGUAUACCUUCAGCUGCGGGUCCCUCCAGCUGUGGCAUGUGGGACGCCGCCUCAGCAUGGCCCUACCAGCAGUGCCACCGCCGUGCCCAGGAUCAGAACC
RNAcentral lists this long non-coding RNA (6008 nucleotides) under Equus caballus (horse). Its description in RNAcentral is "lncRNA (ENSECAG00000047930.1)". The record is from RNAcentral. Lineage: Eukaryota; Metazoa; Chordata; Mammalia; Perissodactyla; Equidae.